GAUGAAGAACGCAGCGAAUUGCGAUAAGUAAUGUGAAUUGCAGAUUUUCAGUGAAUCAUCGAAUCUUUGAACGCACCUUGCGCCCUUUGGCUAUUCCGAAGGGCAUGCCUGUUUGAGUAUCGUGAACACCUCAACUCUCAUGGUUUGCCAUGAUGAGCUUGGACUUUGGGGGUUUUGCUGGCCUUUGGUCGGCUCCUCUCAAACGGAUCAGCUUUCCAGUGUUUGGUGGCGUCACGGGUGUGAUAACUAUCUACGCCUGUGGUUUUCUGCCAGAUAACCUUCAGCGAUGGAGGUUCGCUGGGGCUCAUAAAUGUCUCUCUUCAGUGGAGACAGCUUUUUGGACGUUUGAUCUCAAAUCAGGUAGGACUACCCGCUGAACUUAAGCAUAUCAAUAAGCGGAGGA
Molecule: unclassified non-coding RNA, 403 nt
Filed under: soil metagenome
Description: partial contains 5.8S ribosomal RNA, internal transcribed spacer 2, and large subunit ribosomal RNA
Rfam family: 5.8S ribosomal RNA (bases 1-122)
Source: RNAcentral